GCAUUGGUGGUUCAGUGGUAGAAUUCCCGUCUGCCACGCGGGAGACCAGAGUUUGAUUCCCUGCCAAUGCA
RNAcentral lists this transfer RNA (71 nucleotides) under Clytia hemisphaerica. RNAcentral describes it as "tRNA-Gly for anticodon GCC". It matches the Rfam family "tRNA". Rfam says of the family: Transfer RNA (tRNA) molecules are approximately 80 nucleotides in length. Their secondary structure includes four short double-helical elements and three loops (D, anti-codon, and T loops). Further hydrogen bonds mediate the characteristic L-shaped molecular structure. tRNAs have two regions of fundamental functional importance: the anti-codon, which is responsible for specific mRNA codon recognition, and the 3' end, to which the tRNAs corresponding amino acid is attached (by aminoacyl-tRNA synthetases). tRNAs cope with the degeneracy of the genetic code in two manners: having more than one tRNA (with a specific anti-codon) for a particular amino acid; and 'wobble' base-pairing, i.e. permitting non-standard base-pairing at the 3rd anti-codon position. The record is from Rfam by way of RNAcentral. Lineage: Eukaryota; Metazoa; Cnidaria; Hydrozoa; Leptothecata; Clytiidae.